This 334-nucleotide unclassified non-coding RNA is filed under the name soil metagenome. RNAcentral describes it as "partial contains 5.8S ribosomal RNA, internal transcribed spacer 2, and large subunit ribosomal RNA". The stretch from base 1 to 120 matches the Rfam family "5.8S ribosomal RNA", at positions 35 to 154 of the family's 154-position model. The record is from RNAcentral.
GAUGAAGAACGUAGCGAAAUGCGAUAAGUAGUGUGAAUUGCAGAAUUCAGUGAAUCAUCGAAUCUUUGAACGCACAUUGCGCCCCUUGGUAUUCCAUGGGGCAUGCCUGUUCGAGCGUCAUUUGUACCUUCAAGCUUUGCUUGGUGUUGGGUGUUUGUCCAUUCUCUUGCAGAGGGACUCGCCUUAAAGUAAUUGGCAGCCAGUGUUUUGGUUUUGAAGCGCAGCACAAGUCGCGAUUCAACGCUAUACGCCAGCUUCCACAAGCCUUUUUCACUUUUGACCUCGGAUCAGGUAGGGAUACCCGCUGAACUUAAGCAUAUCAAUAAGCGGAGGU